This 75-nucleotide transfer RNA is filed under the name Candidatus Peregrinibacteria bacterium CG11_big_fil_rev_8_21_14_0_20_46_8. RNAcentral describes it as "tRNA-Phe". It matches the Rfam family "tRNA". Rfam says of the family: Transfer RNA (tRNA) molecules are approximately 80 nucleotides in length. Their secondary structure includes four short double-helical elements and three loops (D, anti-codon, and T loops). The record is from RNAcentral. Lineage: Bacteria; Candidatus Peregrinibacteriota.
GCCAGGGUAGCUCAGUGGUAGAGCAUGCGACUGAAAAUCGCAGUGUCGGCAGUUCAAUUCUGCCCCCUGGCACCA